GCUGGUAAUCGGUCCGGUUCGGUUAUAAUCGAACCGGUUUACCGGUUAAUCGAAAUCGAUUAACUACGAAAUUGGUAACCGAAAAUCGAACCAAUUUUCAAUUUGGUUAACCGAUUAACCGAUCGAACCGGUUAAUCGGUUAACCGAAUUAACCGGUUGAAUUGGAGGGGAGAGCUGAUCGAACAGAAAUCACAAAAAUCUGAGGCAGAUUAGAAUGAAACCAAUAUCAAAAUGCGAAGAGGAAUCCCAAAUAAUUGUUCACAAAAAUCCCAUUGCAUCAAUCAAUUAAAAUUCAUGUCAAUAGUGCAACAAGGCAAAAGCCACACAAUUAGUACAAACUAAAAGCUUAAUCUUUUCACUAGAAGGUUUAGUAAAAUUAAAGAAAAAUAUAAGAACAAAUUCAAGAUUCAAAUAACAUGCAUCAAAGCUGACGAAAAAUUAUAAGUUAGCCUUAGGCCUGGUGAUUGCUGUCUCGAUUGAGUAAUUUGGGGCCAAGGGGUGUGAGAAUCAUGGCGGCGAUGGCUGAUGGACUGCUGCGGAGAAGGAGGCGGUGAUUCUCGCCGUUCGCCGAGAGAAGGGGCUGUUCACGGCGAGGGUAGAAGCAGGAGAAAUUAGGAAUUUGAUUUAGGGAGAGGGGUUUUCUGAAAUUGGAUGAAUUUUGGGGUUUUUGGUGUUUUGACUUUUGAGUCAGGGUAAGAGGAGAAGGAGCCGACGCCGGGACUGAGAAGUGGCGGAGCAGCGGCGGUCGUCGUUGCAUGUCCUACGGCGAGGAGACAGAGAGGGAGAGAGGCAGUUGGCGUGAGAGAUAAGGAAAGAAAGAGAGAGAGAAGUAGAGAGGGGGUGAGAGGCGAGACGCCGGCGGCAAAUUCGCCGGAAAUGGGGGUUGCAGGCGGCUGAGAAAAGAAGAAGAAGAAGGGGAGAGAGAUUUGGGGGAAAUGGCCGGAGGGGAAGGCGAGAGAUAGGGGAACUGGCAGAUGUUUGGAUUCCCAAAAUAUGAAAUUGGGGGAAAUCGCUGGG
This 1017-nucleotide long non-coding RNA is filed under the name Salvia miltiorrhiza (redroot sage). RNAcentral's name for it is "long non-coding RNA (SMIL_LNC002907)". Lineage: Eukaryota; Viridiplantae; Streptophyta; Magnoliopsida; Lamiales; Lamiaceae. The record is from RNAcentral.